Molecule: ribosomal RNA, 230 nt
Filed under: Campylobacter fetus subsp. testudinum
Lineage: Bacteria; Pseudomonadati; Campylobacterota; Epsilonproteobacteria; Campylobacterales; Campylobacteraceae
Description: partial 23S ribosomal RNA
Rfam family: Bacterial large subunit ribosomal RNA
Source: RNAcentral
CUCCGAAAUAUAUUUAGGUAUAGCGUUGUGUCGUAAUUAUAAGGGGUAGAGCACUGAAUGGGCUAGGGCAUAUACCAAUGUACCAAACCCUAUCAAACUCCGAAUACUUAUAAUGUAAUCACAGCAGUCAGGCGGCGAGUGAUAAAAUCCGUCGUCAAGAGGGGAACAACCCAGACUAACAGCUAAGGUCCCUAAAUCCCAUUUAAGUGGAAACGAUGUGGAGUUACUGA